This 104-nucleotide non-coding RNA is filed under the name Staphylococcus haemolyticus. RNAcentral's name for it is "partial 16S ribosomal RNA". It matches the Rfam family "Bacterial small subunit ribosomal RNA", at positions 1430 to 1533 of the family's 1533-position model. RNAcentral also lists the same sequence under 1 other name. The record is from RNAcentral. Lineage: Bacteria; Bacillati; Bacillota; Bacilli; Caryophanales; Staphylococcaceae.
GUGGAGUAACCAUUUGGAGCUAGCCGUCGAAGGUGGGACAAAUGAUUGGGGUGAAGUCGUAACAAGGUAGCCGUAUCGGAAGGUGCGGCUGGAUCACCUCCUUU